UCACCACCCUGAACGCGCCUGAUCUCGGAAGCUAAGCAGGGUCGGGCCUGGUAAGUACUUGGAUGGGAGACCACCUGGGAAUACAGAGUGAA
Molecule: ribosomal RNA, 92 nt
Filed under: Sorex araneus (European shrew)
Lineage: Eukaryota; Metazoa; Chordata; Mammalia; Eulipotyphla; Soricidae
Source: RNAcentral